This 478-nucleotide ribosomal RNA is filed under the name uncultured bacterium. RNAcentral describes it as "bacterial SSU rRNA". It matches the Rfam family "Bacterial small subunit ribosomal RNA", at positions 20 to 507 of the family's 1533-position model. The record is from RNAcentral.
UGGCUCAGGAUGAACGCUGGCGGCGUGCCUAAUACAUGCAAGUCGAACGAGGUGCUUUUGUAGCAAUACGAAAGUAUCCUAGUGGCGAACGGGUGAGUAACGCGUUGGUGACCUACCCCAAAGUGUGGGAUAACAGUUCGAAAGAACUGCUAAUACCGCAUGUGGUUAUCGGAUUUAGAAACUGAUAACUAAAGGAGCAAUUCGCUUUGGGAGGGACCUGCGUCCCAUCAGCUAGUUGGUGAGGUAAUGGCUCACCAAGGCUACGACGGGUAGGGGACCUGAGAGGGUGACCCCCCCACAAUGGAACUGAAACACGGUCCAUACACCUACGGGUGGCAGCAGUAGGGAAUAUUGCACAAUGGGCGAAAGCUUGAUGCAGCAACGCCGCGUGUGCGAUGAAGGCCCUCGGGUCGUAAAGCACUUUUCUGAGAGAUGAGCAAGGACAGUAUCUCAGGAAUAAGUCUCGGCUAACUACGUG